Molecule: ribosomal RNA, 497 nt
Filed under: uncultured bacterium
Lineage: Bacteria
Description: partial 16S ribosomal RNA
Rfam family: Bacterial small subunit ribosomal RNA
Source: RNAcentral
GACGAACGCUGGCGGCGUGCCUAACACAUGCAAGUUGAGCGCUGACGGUUUGUACUUUUACCCACUGGAUGAGCAGCGAACGGGUGAGUAACGCGCGGGGCAUCUUCCUUUGAUUGGUGGACAACAUUUGGAAACGACUUCUAAUACUGCAUCAAACCUUUAAACACAAGUUUUAAGUUUGCAAGAUGCAAUUGCCUCUCUCAUAGAUGAUUCCGCGUUGUAUUAGCUAGUUGGUGAGGUAAAGGCUCACCAAGGCGAUGAUACAUAGCCUACCUGAGAGGGUGAUCGGGCACAAUGGGACUGAGAAAAGGGCCAAACUCCUAAGGGAGGGAGCAGUAGGGAAUCGUCGGCAAUGGACGAAAGGCUGACCGAGCAACGCCGCGGGAGGGAAGAAGGUUUUCGGAGCGGAAAACUCUGUUGGUAGAGAAGAAAGUGGGGGAGAGUGGAAAGCUCAUCAAGUGACGGUAACUACCCAGAAAGGGACGGCUAACUACGUG